GUAGUCGGAUUCACAUCAAUCCACAUGUGUUGAGGUGGAUUGGAGUGGAACAUUCCACCUCAAUCCACACCAACACACAUGGAUUGAAGUGAAUACGACA
MicroRNA precursor from Sorghum bicolor (sorghum), 100 nucleotides. It matches the Rfam family "MIR5565 microRNA precursor family". Lineage: Eukaryota; Viridiplantae; Streptophyta; Magnoliopsida; Poales; Poaceae. The record is from Rfam.